UACGAAGGGGGCUAGCGUUGUUCGGAAUUACUGGGCGUAAAGCGCACGUAGGCGGAUCGAUCAGUCAGGGGUGAAAUCCCAGAGCUCAACUCUGGAACUGCCUUUGAUACUGUCGAUCUAGAGUAUGGAAGAGGUGAGUGGAAUUCCGAGUGUAGAGGUGAAAUGCGCAGAUAUCGGGAGGAACACCCGUAGCGAAGGCGGCACUCUGGGCCGGAACUGACGCUGAGGAGCGAAAGCGUGGGGAGCAAACAGG
Molecule: ribosomal RNA, 253 nt
Filed under: uncultured bacterium
Lineage: Bacteria
Description: partial 16S ribosomal RNA
Rfam family: Bacterial small subunit ribosomal RNA
Source: RNAcentral